Molecule: ribosomal RNA, 429 nt
Filed under: Bacteroidota bacterium
Lineage: Bacteria; Pseudomonadati; Bacteroidota
Description: Bacteroidetes bacterium partial 16S ribosomal RNA
Rfam family: Bacterial small subunit ribosomal RNA
Source: RNAcentral
UGGGGAAUCUUCGGCAAUGGGGGGAACCCUGACCGAGCAACGCCGCGUGAGUGAAGAAGGUUUUCGGAUCGUAAAGCUCUGUUGGUAAGGAAGAACGAGUGUGAGAAUGGAAAGUUCAUGCUGUGACGGUACUUAACCAGAAAGGGACGGCUAACUACGUGCCAGCAGCCGCGGUAAUACGUAGGUCCCGAGCGUUGUCCGGAUUUAUUGGGCGUAAAGCGAGCGCAGGCGGUUAGAAAAGUCUGAAGUGAAAGGCAGUGGCUCAACCAUUGUAGGCUUUGGAAACUGUUUAACUGGAGUGCAGAAGGGGAGAGUGGAAUUCCAUGUGUAGCGGUGAAAUGCGUAGAUAUAUGGAGGAACACCGGUGGCGAAAGCGGCUCUCUGGUCUGUAACUGACGCUGAGGCUCGAAAGCGUGGGGAGCGAACAGG